GCCAUUUUGGUUUUGCACUUAAUAGUUAAUAUUUUAUUAUACUGAGUAGUAAAAUCACACAUUAUAUAACUGGCACAAAGAGGUCUGCGGACAACUACUGGACUCUUGGGAAGCACAUGACUCUUCCACUGGAAGAAGUUUGCAGGCAUUUGCUGGAGGAGUAGGUGUACUGCAAGCUCUCUGGAUGUCAUGGGCAUGCCUCCAUGGGGAAAAGAAGAGUGUCUCUUCACUUAGGGGAGAGGGGCAGUUGUUCUGCCUCCAUGGAUAGGAAAGCAUGCAUCUCUUGCACUGGGGUAAAAUAUUCUACUUUAAAGUAUUUCCCCAACCCAAGCACUUGUCUGCCUGCUGAGGAAAGAAUGGAGUCGCUUAAACCCUUCCCAAUAGGAGGAAGAUGGAAGGAUCUCUGUUUCCUUCUGUGAUAAAUAAUGUGAAAACACAAGGAAAGUACACCGUUUUUUACUGCCAAGAAGUUCUCAGAUGUAGAAACAAGAAGGAGCCAGUCAUCACUGCUCAUGAGAACAGGGACAUGGUGUUAAUUUGAAGAAGGAAAACUAAGCUCUCUUCCCACUCUGCUUAAAGGAACAUAGUCUGAAUCCAUUCUCAAGUGCUUUGGAAAUCUUCUGGCUAUUUUCAAGGUGCUCGAGAUCCAGCCCAGGGAAACAUAUCCUGACCAUGGGUAGAAAGGACGGUGUGCCCAUUUUAGACCGAUUUGUAGCAACAAGACUCUCCAGGUACAGAGAGUGCCAGCAAAAUACAGUUUUAAUGAAAUGGUUAGCUUUUCAUAUAAAUGUAAUGGAAUUGCCUUAUCUGAAAUCUCAAAGUCAUUAGGGGCAAUUUAUGAAGAAAAUAUAUCAUUCAAUCUUAUUCCUUUUGCAGCAGGUAGCAAUCAAUAGUCUCACCACUUCCUAGUUACUAAAAAGAGAAGCCCCAUAAACUCAUGGAAGCAGCUGUUGUGAUAUUUACUUGAUGCUGAUAAGAGUAAGCAAAAUUUCAUUAUAUGAUAUAUAUAAAAAUAAAAUAUGUAUCUAUAAAUAUAUUUACUUAGAUAUAAAUAUCUAUAAAUAUUUAUGAUGCAUAUGUAUUUAUGGAUAUAAGUAGUUUAUAUGUACAUAUAUAUAUAAAAGAUGUACUUCUAUAUGAUGGAGCACUCACUUUAUUUCACCUUCUUUUUUUUAUUUUUUAUUUAUUUAUGA
Molecule: long non-coding RNA, 1193 nt
Organism: Canis lupus familiaris (dog)
Lineage: Eukaryota; Metazoa; Chordata; Mammalia; Carnivora; Canidae
Exons: 3
Source: RefSeq, a predicted model, not a curated record